This 837-nucleotide ribosomal RNA is filed under the name uncultured archaeon. RNAcentral describes it as "bacterial SSU rRNA". It matches the Rfam family "Archaeal small subunit ribosomal RNA", at positions 21 to 859 of the family's 1478-position model. The record is from RNAcentral.
GGUUACUGCUAUCGGUGUUCGCCUAAGCCAUGCGAGUCAUAUGUUCUUCGGAACAUGGCGUACUGCUCAGUAACACGUGGAUAACCUGCCCUUGGGUCCGGCAUAACCCCGGGAAACUGGGGAUAAUUCCGGAUAACGCACAUAUGCUGGAAUGCUUUAUGCGUCAAAUGGAUUCGUCCGCCCAAGGAUGGGUCUGCGGCCUAUCAGGUAGUAGUGGGUGUAAUGUACCUACUAGCCUACGACGGGUACGGGUUGUGAGAGCAAGAGCCCGGAGAUGGAUUCUGAGACAUGAAUCCAGGCCCUACGGGGCGCAGCAGGCGCGAAAACUUUACAAUGCGGGAAACCGUGAUAAGGGGACACCGAGUGCCAGCAUCAUAUGCUGGCUGUCCGGGUGUGUAAAAUACACCUGUUAGCAAGGGCCGGGCAAGACCGGUGCCAGCCGCCGCGGUAACACCGGCGGCCCGAGUGGUGAUCGUGAUUAUUGGGUCUAAAGGGUCCGUAGCCGGUUUGGUCAGUCCUCCGGGAAAUCUGACGGCUUAACCGUUAGGCUUUCGGGGGAUACUGCCAGACUUGGAACCGGGAGAGGUAAGAGGUACUACAGGGGUAGGAGUGAAAUCUUGUAAUCCCUGUGGGACCACCUGUGGCGAAGGCGUCUUACCAGAACGGGUUCGACGGUGAGGGACGAAAGCUGGGGGCACGAACCGGAUUAGAUACCCGGGUAGUCCCAGCCGUAAACGAUGCUCGCUAGGUGUCAGGCAUGGCGCGACCGUGUCUGGUGCCGCAGGGAAGCCGUGAAGCGAGCCACCUGGGAAGUACGGCCGCAAGGCUGAAACUUAA